CACUGUUAUUUUUCACGUUAUUCACGUUAUUGAUAUCCUCAAACGAAUUUGAAAAAAAAAAGUUACUCAUAUAAGCAUAAGGGUGGUCUAAAAAAACCUUUUUUAUUUUUUUUCCGGUCCUAUCAACUCAACAGUUUCUAGGAGAUAAACAAAAAUUAUCCUGCGAGGGAAUAACUCCAUAUUUUGAUUCUACGAGACGCUCUACGGAUUUUCGUUCUUCCAUAUAAAUAACACCAAAACCAAAAUUAAUAAACAACGACGAAGCGGACGAGACAACCGAGCGGAAGCAAACGUAGGCAACAAGAGACAGUCGACAUCUCAAAUAUCUACAAAUACAUGACUUUGUUAUCAAUAUUGUUAUCGCAGUCGCGUAAAUCCACCGAGACAUAUAUGACGAUCGUUAAACUAGUAGAGAUCGCAAUCAACCAAACUUUAUUAGCGGCACGAUUUUUUUCAACAUGCCAUCAUUCCCACGCACGACACCCAUUAAGAUGGAGAUAAUACGGAUUUCGUUUCUCUGAAGAACGCAAUAAAAUUACCUAACCAGAUGAGGAGAUCGGGGGAUAAAGUCGGGACGAAAGGCCUGAAAACAGUGUUGCACAACGACCGCGACUUCGUACGCACGUACACAAAAUGAAUGACCAACGAACGAGUUUACAGCUCCGGCGAAUUUCAUAUAGACGCCAAGUUUUUAUAUUUCAAUUGUAAAGUAGAACUUUAUAGAAAAAUAAAAUAUAUGCACUAUCGGUA
Venturia canescens is the source of this 750-nucleotide long non-coding RNA. RefSeq lists it as uncharacterized. The record is from RefSeq and is a predicted model, not a curated record. Lineage: Eukaryota; Metazoa; Arthropoda; Insecta; Hymenoptera; Ichneumonidae. The transcript is spliced from 3 exons.